Molecule: ribosomal RNA, 371 nt
Filed under: uncultured bacterium
Lineage: Bacteria
Description: bacterial SSU rRNA
Rfam family: Bacterial small subunit ribosomal RNA
Source: RNAcentral
ACGUGGGGGGCCAGCGUUGCUCGGAAUUACUGGGUGUAAAGGGUUCGUAGGCGGUGUGGCAAGUCGGGAGUGAAAUCUCUGGGCUUAACCCAGAGACUGCUUCCGAAACUGCUGUGCUUGAGUGUGGGAGAGGCGCGUGGAAUUGCAGGUGUAGCGGUGAAAUGCGUAGAUAUCUGCAGGAACACCCGUGGCGAAAGCGGCGCGCUGGACCACUACUGACGCUGAGGAACGAAAGCUAGGGGAGCAAACAGGAUUAGAUACCCUGGUAGUCCUAGCCCUAAACGAUCAGGACUUGGGGUGCCGCACGUUCGUGCGUCGUCCCGGAGCUAACGCGUUAAGUCCUGCACCUGGGGAGUACGGUCGCAAGACUG